UGAGUAAAUGUAGUUCUUUGUAUUGAUUCUUGCAUUAGUCUUUUGAUAUUACACAAGGGAGUAUUUAUAGUAGUACAUAUGAAAUGGGAGCCCUUGGAUGAAGUGGCACGUGGCCUCAUCUCUUUAGUUCAAACAUCUUUUCCUAGGUAUGGGGCUUAACUUGCUAGCUUACGGCGCAUUUAUUGCUUGUGCAGGGCCUCCAUGCUAGUGACAAGACUUAACCUUUAUGCUUAUGACAAACGUUC
Molecule: long non-coding RNA, 245 nt
Filed under: Olea europaea (common olive)
Lineage: Eukaryota; Viridiplantae; Streptophyta; Magnoliopsida; Lamiales; Oleaceae
Description: long non-coding RNA (OEUR_LNC014034)
Source: RNAcentral